Molecule: non-coding RNA, 21 nt
Filed under: Arabidopsis thaliana (thale cress)
Lineage: Eukaryota; Viridiplantae; Streptophyta; Magnoliopsida; Brassicales; Brassicaceae
Source: RNAcentral
CAAGUUACUCGCCAAGUGCCU